Molecule: non-coding RNA, 30 nt
Filed under: Rattus norvegicus (Norway rat)
Lineage: Eukaryota; Metazoa; Chordata; Mammalia; Rodentia; Muridae
Source: RNAcentral
UAGGGAUUUGGGAAUGCUUUUCUGUCUCUC